RNAcentral lists this ribosomal RNA (253 nucleotides) under uncultured bacterium. RNAcentral describes it as "partial 16S ribosomal RNA". It matches the Rfam family "Bacterial small subunit ribosomal RNA", at positions 524 to 776 of the family's 1533-position model. The record is from RNAcentral.
GACGAACCGUGCGAACGUUGUUCGGAUUCACUGGGCUUAAAGGGCGCGUAGGCGGCUUGCCAAGUCAGGGGUGAAAUCUUUCGGCUCAACCGGAAAAGUGCUUCUGAUACUGGCGGGCUGGAGGAGGGUAGGGGCAGAUGGAACUUCCGGUGGAGCGGUGAAAUGCGUAGAUAUCGGAAGGAACGCCGGUGGCGAAGGCGGUUCUCUGGGCCUUACCUGACGCUGAGGAGCGAAAGCGUGGGGAGCGAACAGG